UUGUUAUUGAUAUUAUUUUUAUUGAAAUAGAGACUCAAGUGACCAGAAUAAUGUUUUCCCUUAUUGCUUUAUCAUUACUCUUUACAGUUGCAUCUUCAACUCCUCUGGUUGAACAGUUGGGUUUGAAGUCUAACGAUUCCUACAACAUUCAAGCUGUCCUUGUUGCCGGAUCCAAUGGAUGGUACAAUUAUCGUCACCAAGCUGAUGUCUGUCAUGCUUACCAAGUCCUCCGAAGCCAUGGCGUUCCUGCUGAAAACAUCAUCGUUAUGAUGUAUGAUGAUAUUGCCAAUGCCUCUGAAAAUCCCCAUCCAGGUAAAAUCUUCAACAUCCCCAAAGGUCCUGAUGUCUAUGCUGGUGUAUCAAAGGAUUACACUGGUGAUGAAGUCAACGCCGAAAACUUCUUAAAGGUCAUCAAGGGUGACAAAGGUCUUGCAGCUAAGGGUAAAAAGGUACUCACUUCUGGACCAAAUGAUCACGUCUUCAUCUAUUUCGCUGACCAUGGAGCUACAGGUUUAAUCGCCUUCCCUGAAGACACUCUUUCAUCAGACGAUUUGAACAAAGCCUUGGUGUACAUGCACGAUAACAAGUUGUAUGGUAAACUCACUUUCUAUGUUGAAGCCUGUGAAUCUGGAUCAAUGUUUGAAAAUAUUUUACCCAAAGACAUCAACAUCUAUGCUACAACUGCUGCCAACUCUGAAGAGUCAAGUUGGGGUUGUUAUUGUGAUGAAAAAGACAUUGAUACUUGCCUUGGUGAUGAAUAUUCUGUUGCAUGGCUCCAAGACUCGGACAAGCAUGAUUUAACCAAAGAAACACUUGAACAACAAUUCAAAGAUGUUGUUAAAAACACUCCAAGAUCACAUCCACAAGAAUUUGGAACCAAAUCUAUCGCUGAUUUAGUUGUCGGUGAAUUCCAAGGAGAAAAGGCUUCAUCAAGCAAUCAGCUUUACAGAAAAGUUCCAGCUCGAGGUUCAGUAAACAGCCGAGAUAUUCCUUUGGUCAUGUUACGAAGAAAAAUGAUCAAGACAAAUGAUGAAAAUGAAGCUGCUUCCCUUCAUAAGCAACUAUCAAAUUUGAUUGCUGGUCGACAUUUCCUUGAAUCAGGAAUGAACAAAAUUGUUGCUCAACUUUGUUCUGCUGGUUUCUGUUCAAGUGUUGAAGAAGUCAUGACAACUCGACGACCAUUGGUUAAUCACUCAGCUCACUCCACAGUUGUCAAAAAAUUCAACUCCAGUUGCCUUAAUGUUGCCGUCCACAAUUAUGCAAUGAAAUACAUUUAUGUACUGGCCAAUCUGGUUGAGGCAAACAACUUUAACGAGACAAGUUUAUCUCAUUUCUUGAAAGCUUUAGAGCGAGCUUGUGAAACUCACAUCGUCGACAAUGGAUUCAAAGCUAUUGUUUAAAUGCAUUGUUAUUAACAAUCAAUUUUUCUUUCAAUAAAAUUCCCUUUUGCAAACAA
Tetranychus urticae (two-spotted spider mite) is the source of this 1456-nucleotide RNA transcript. It is a transcript of the gene named legumain pseudogene, with no coding region annotated. The record is from RefSeq and is a predicted model, not a curated record. NCBI's taxonomy places the organism in Eukaryota, Metazoa, Arthropoda, Arachnida, Trombidiformes, Tetranychidae.